RNAcentral lists this ribosomal RNA (1120 nucleotides) under uncultured bacterium. RNAcentral describes it as "bacterial SSU rRNA". It matches the Rfam family "Bacterial small subunit ribosomal RNA", at positions 249 to 1367 of the family's 1533-position model. The record is from RNAcentral.
UUGGUGGGGUAAAGGCUCACCAAGGCAACGAUCCGUAGCUGGUUUGAGAGGACGACCAGCCACACUGGGACUGAGACACGGCCCAGACUCCUACGGGAGGCAGCAGUGGGGAAUUUUGGACAAUGGGGGAAACCCUGAUCCAGCCAUCCCGCGUGUAUGAUGAAGGCCUUCGGGUUGUAAAGUACUUUUGGCAGAGAAGAAAAGGCAUCCCCUAAUACGGGAUGCUGCUGACGGUAUCUGCAGAAUAAGCACCGGCUAACUACGUGCCAGCAGCCGCGGUAAUACGUAGGGUGCAAGCGUUAAUCGGAAUUACUGGGCGUAAAGCGUGUGUAGGCGGUUCGGAAAGAAAGAUGUGAAAUCCCAGGGCUCAACCUUGGAACUGCAUUUUUAACUGCCGAGCCAGAGUAUGUCAGAGGGGGGUAGAAUUCCACGUGUAGCAGUGAAAUGCGUAGAUAUGUGGAGGAAUACCGAUGGCGAAGGCAGCCCCCUGGGAUAAUACUGACGCUCAGACACGAAAGCGUGGGGAGCAAAAAGGAUUAGAUGCCCUGGUAGUCCACGCCCUAAACGAUGUCAACUAGCUGUUGGGGCCGUUAGGCCUUAGUAGCGCAGCUAACGCGUGAAGUUGACCGCCUGGGGAGUACGGUCGCAAGAUUAAAACUCAAAGGAAUUGACGGGGACCCGCACAAGCGGUGGAUGAUGUGGAUUAAUUCGAUGCAACGCGAAAAACCUUACCUACCCUUGACAUGUCUGGAAUGCCGAAGAGAUUUGGCAGUGCUCGCAAGAGAACCGGAACACAGGUGCUGCAUGGCUGUCGUCAGCUCGUGUCGUGAGAUGUUGGGUUAAGUCCCGCAACGAGCGCAACCCUUGUCAUUAGUUGCUACGCAAGAGCACUCUAAUGAGACUGCCGGUGACAAACCGGAGGAAGGUGGGGAUGACGUCAAGUCCUCAUGGCCCUUAUGGGUAGGGCUUCACACGUCAUACAAUGGUCGGGACAGAGGGUCGCCAACCCGCGAGGGGGAGCCAAUCUCAGAAACCCGAUCGUAGUCCGGAUCGCAGUCUGCAACUCGACUGCGUGAAGUCGGAAUCGCUAGUAAUCGCGGAUCAGAAUGUCGCGGUGAAU